RNAcentral lists this ribosomal RNA (333 nucleotides) under Pseudomonas aeruginosa. RNAcentral describes it as "bacterial SSU rRNA". It matches the Rfam family "Bacterial small subunit ribosomal RNA", at positions 1201 to 1533 of the family's 1533-position model. The record is from RNAcentral. Lineage: Bacteria; Pseudomonadati; Pseudomonadota; Gammaproteobacteria; Pseudomonadales; Pseudomonadaceae.
CUUACGGCCAGGGCUACACACGUGCUACAAUGGUCGGUACAAAGGGUUGCCAAGCCGCGAGGUGGAGCUAAUCCCAUAAAACCGAUCGUAGUCCGGAUCGCAGUCUGCAACUCGACUGCGUGAAGUCGGAAUCGCUAGUAAUCGUGAAUCAGAAUGUCACGGUGAAUACGUUCCCGGGCCUUGUACACACCGCCCGUCACACCAUGGGAGUGGGUUGCUCCAGAAGUAGCUAGUCUAACCGCAAGGGGGACGGUUACCACGGAGUGAUUCAUGACUGGGGUGAAGUCGUAACAAGGUAGCCGUAGGGGAACCUGCGGCUGGAUCACCUCCUUA